UUCGCAAUGCCCGAAAGGGUGACGAAGCGACGCCGCGUGUGGGAAGAAGGCCUUCGGGUUGUAAACCACUGUCGGGAGUUAAGAAAUGCAAGAAUGUUAAUAGCGUUUUUGCUUGACUAAGGCUCCGGAGGAAGCCACGGCUAACUCUGUGCCAGCAGCCGCGGUAAUACAGAGGCGGCAAGCGUUGUUCGAAAUUAUUGGGCGUAAAGAGCACGUAGGCGGCUAUAUAAGUCGGUUGUGAAAGCCUUCCGCUCAACGGGAGAACAGCAUCCGAUACUGUAUGGCUUGAGUGUGGGAGGGGAGAGCGGAACUUCUGGUGGAGCGGUGAAAUGCGUAGAUAUCAGAAGGAACGCCGGCGGCGAAAGCGGCUCUCUGGCCCAUAACUGACGCUGAGUGUGCGAAAGCUAGGGGAGCAAGCGGGAUUAGAUACCCCGGUAGUCCUAGCCGUAAACGAUGGGCACUAAGUAGAGGGGUUUU
This 477-nucleotide ribosomal RNA is filed under the name uncultured bacterium. Its description in RNAcentral is "bacterial SSU rRNA". It matches the Rfam family "Bacterial small subunit ribosomal RNA", at positions 365 to 832 of the family's 1533-position model. The record is from RNAcentral.